RNAcentral lists this long non-coding RNA (236 nucleotides) under Panax ginseng (ginseng). RNAcentral describes it as "long non-coding RNA (PGIN_LNC004731)". The record is from RNAcentral. Lineage: Eukaryota; Viridiplantae; Streptophyta; Magnoliopsida; Apiales; Araliaceae.
UGGAUACUGCCACAGCCAAUGCAGUCUCUGUCUUCAUCCAUGCGGAAUACUCAGCAGAACGACCUGGAUGACUGACAGAAAACUCAGCCGACUCUCGUUGAUCCCAACAGGCAUAUAACCUGGAUCUGUCCUCUGCUGACAAACGAUGCGACGCGAAGCGCUAAUUCGCUGCCCCCUCAUACGGAUGGAAAUCCUGAAACUGGUCAAACUGACUCAUCACUGCCAGUGGGGGGUAG